This is a small nucleolar RNA of Stegodyphus dumicola, 70 nucleotides long. RefSeq annotates it as small nucleolar RNA SNORD34. The record is from RefSeq and is a predicted model, not a curated record. Lineage: Eukaryota; Metazoa; Arthropoda; Arachnida; Araneae; Eresidae.
CUGAGGAUGAUGAUUAGUAUUCUUACCUACAUUGUUUGAUUAUCCUUGAAAAUAAACUUAUCUGAUUUAG